Molecule: ribosomal RNA, 119 nt
Filed under: Scophthalmus maximus (turbot)
Lineage: Eukaryota; Metazoa; Chordata; Actinopteri; Pleuronectiformes; Scophthalmidae
Source: RNAcentral
GCUUAUGGCCACACCGCCUGGUUCACGGCUGAUCUCGUUUGAUCUCGGAAGCUAUGAUAGGUUGGGCCUGGUUAGUACUUUGAUGGGAGACCGCCUGGGAAUACCAGGUGCUGUAAGCU